This 822-nucleotide long non-coding RNA is filed under the name Olea europaea (common olive). RNAcentral describes it as "long non-coding RNA (OEUR_LNC009844)". Lineage: Eukaryota; Viridiplantae; Streptophyta; Magnoliopsida; Lamiales; Oleaceae. The record is from RNAcentral.
GACAACAUUGAAGUUCUUUUAUUCAAACAAAAAUUUUAGUAUGUUUUUUUCUUCAUCUUGACUGAGCAAACAUAUGUUCAUACACACCUUUAUAUACUCUUUAUACAUACAUUUAAAAAUAAUAAUAAUAAUAAUAAUAAUAAUAAUAAUAAUAAUAAUAAUUAGCACCACUGAUAUUUUACAUUAAUCUAGAGAGCAUGACUAAUGACAUAAAAUUACAAAUUUAUAUACAAGCAAUUAUGACCCGUUUAAUAGGAUCUUUGAUAUGAUGACACGUAGAUUGGUGUUCAAAUGCUAGAUAACAUUAUUAAGUAAGAAAAUUAUACCAAUCAAACACAAUAAAUUAACAAUUAUUAGGAAAAUAAUUUCUAAGCAAUAUAAUUUCAUGAAAUUCGUUUUCUUUCCACCCAAAUUCUAUCUUUACAAUCAAACGGACCCUAAAUAAAAUAAAAUCGAUUCCACGCUUAAUUUCAACAUGGUGCAAACCGAUCCAUGAGCAAAAACGUCAUUUCUGACCCAGUCUCCUCCCUCAAGGCGUUUGUUGGUGACUUGAGGGUGGCUGAUGACGAAGACAACUCUUGCUUCCACUGUUUUCUUUCGUGUACUUCAUUAGCCAUAAUUUGAAUAAUUGGAUUUCGGGCUCCGACUUUCGCUCUUACCUUUGAAAUUUUUUCGAGGCACACAUCAACUACAGCUGCCAUUUCUGUAUUCUCCUUUCCUCUCUAUUUCUUGAUGAAAUUAUUGAAAUCGAUGUAGAAAUGAAAGUAGUUUAUUGUUGCAUUUAUAGAGUGGGAAAAUGAAUGGUUCUAAAGGGGGAAAAAA